GCCCCCGUAGCUCAGUGGACAGAGCAGGAGCCUUCUAAGCUCUUGGCCGGGGGUUCGAAUCCUCCCGGGGGCG
This 73-nucleotide transfer RNA is filed under the name bacterium. RNAcentral describes it as "tRNA-Arg". It matches the Rfam family "tRNA". Rfam says of the family: Transfer RNA (tRNA) molecules are approximately 80 nucleotides in length. Their secondary structure includes four short double-helical elements and three loops (D, anti-codon, and T loops). Further hydrogen bonds mediate the characteristic L-shaped molecular structure. tRNAs have two regions of fundamental functional importance: the anti-codon, which is responsible for specific mRNA codon recognition, and the 3' end, to which the tRNAs corresponding amino acid is attached (by aminoacyl-tRNA synthetases). tRNAs cope with the degeneracy of the genetic code in two manners: having more than one tRNA (with a specific anti-codon) for a particular amino acid; and 'wobble' base-pairing, i.e. permitting non-standard base-pairing at the 3rd anti-codon position. The record is from RNAcentral. RNAcentral also lists the same sequence under 1 other name.